AGAGUCUGAGGACUAUCCAGGGCCUGACUGCCAGCUAGCCAGCCAUGGGCCAGGAUUAUUACUCUGUGCUCGGGAUCACUCGCAAUUCAGAGGAUGCCCAGAUCAAGCAGGCGUACCGCAGACUCGCCCUUAAGCACCACCCGUUGAAGUCAAAUGAGCCGUCUUCAGCAGAGAUUUUCAGGCAAAUAGCAGAGGCCUACGACGUGCUGAGUGACCCCAUGAAGAGAGGCAUCUAUGACAAGUUUGGAGAAGAGGGCCUGAAGGGUGGGAUUCCUUUGGAGUUUGGAUCCCAGACCCCAUGGACAACUGGUUACGUCUUCCACGGCAAACCUGAAAAGGUGUUCCACGAGUUCUUUGGUGGAAACAACCCCUUCAGUGGUAAGAGGUCUUCCUCCCCCACCUUGCCUUAUAGAGAAAGGACACAGCUAUAAGUGAUGUUUUCGUUGAGUAGUUUUGUUUUUAUUUUUACUUUAUUAUUUUAUUUUAUUUACUUAUUUUUUUUGGCGAUGGAGACUCACUCUGUUGCCCAGGCUGGAGUGCAGUAGUGGGAUCAUGGCUUACUGCAACCUCUGCCUCCCGGGUUCAAAUGAUUCU
Molecule: small RNA, 594 nt
Filed under: Pan troglodytes (chimpanzee)
Lineage: Eukaryota; Metazoa; Chordata; Mammalia; Primates; Hominidae
Description: retained intron
Source: RNAcentral